GGCGAGGGCUGGUCAUGCUCCGCCGGAAGGCGCCUUGUUCUCCGAGAGGGUGAGUUGAAAUGCUGGCUGGGAAGGAAGCACAGGACUUGUUCAGGAAGAAUAGACAGUGGAACAACGCCUCAGACAGAGCCGUGGGAGCUGCAGUAUCAGCGUCUGCUGCAUCUUACCAUCGCAUCAACAUCACAGAUCACUGAUCUGCAUAUUCUGAAUUUGUCAACUCAGAGAUUCUCUGACCUGGUUUAUGCCUUGGAAGAGUUAAACUAUCUUCUGAGCUUACAUUGAGCCUAAUGCCUGGGAGAAAAGUUGAAGACAAACAUUUCUCUUGGACUCCACCCUCACCCCUAGAAGUCACUGGACUUCUGUCCUUACAUUUGAGCAAGUUCUCGACCAGGAAGAUCUUUGUGUGACCUAUCCUUCCUCUACUGUGAC
Molecule: long non-coding RNA, 429 nt
Organism: Heterocephalus glaber (naked mole-rat)
Lineage: Eukaryota; Metazoa; Chordata; Mammalia; Rodentia; Bathyergidae
Source: Ensembl